RNAcentral lists this long non-coding RNA (235 nucleotides) under Glycine max (soybean). Its description in RNAcentral is "long non-coding RNA (GMAX_LNC000180)". Lineage: Eukaryota; Viridiplantae; Streptophyta; Magnoliopsida; Fabales; Fabaceae. The record is from RNAcentral.
CUAAAUCCUAGAACUAUAUCACAGUUCUACUUAUAAGGUGCUCUAGAUGAUUGGCACAAAACUGUUAGUAAUGCAAGGAUGUGCUUGAUGCAAAUUUGGAAUAGGAUGGACCCUUUGGUACCAAAGUUUGCAUGAGAAUUGAAGCAAAAUAUGUUACCUACUAAAGAAAAUCUUUAGCAAACGGGAAUAUUGACAAAUGAGGAGAUUUGGUGUGUAGGGUGCAAAAGGAAAUGGG